Molecule: ribosomal RNA, 1113 nt
Filed under: Triticum aestivum (bread wheat)
Lineage: Eukaryota; Viridiplantae; Streptophyta; Magnoliopsida; Poales; Poaceae
Description: partial small subunit ribosomal RNA
Source: RNAcentral
AUGUUGCUAGCCGCCACGGCGUGCUGCUUCCUCGCCGACGAGGCCAAGAAGAGCCAGGACGGCGGCGGGGGCGGCGGCGGAGGGGGAGGAGGAGGAGGAGGAGGGCUGGGGAUUAGCCCGGUGGUGCUGGUCGUGGUGCUGGUGCUGGCCGCGCUCGUGUUCGUCUCCGGCCUGCUGCACCUGCUCGUCAGGCUCCUGCGGUGGCGCGCCCGCGCGCGCACCGGGGCGACGGAGGAUGGAGGGAGCGAGGCGGGGGAGGGAGGCGGCGGAGGGCGGGGGGCCGGGGAGGAGUCGGCGCUGCAGCGGCAGCUGCAGCAGCUGUUCCACCUGCACGACUCCGGGCUCGACCAGGCCGUCAUCGACGCGCUGCCGGUGUUCCUCUACGGGGAGGUGGUGGUCGGCGCCGGGAACGGCGCGGGCGCCAAGGAGCCGUUCGACUGCGCGGUGUGCCUGUGCGAGUUCGCCGGCGACGACCGGCUCCGGCUGCUGCCGCUGUGCGGCCACGCGUUCCACAUCGACUGCAUCGACACCUGGCUGCUCUCCAACUCCACCUGCCCGCUCUGCCGCCGCGUGCUCGCCGCCGACGACGACGCCGGCGCCGCGGGCCUCCUGCUCGACGAGGGGUGGGGGCAGGAGGGGGAGGGCGCGGUGUUCCCGGUGCGCCUCGGCAAGUUCAAGAGCACUGCCAGGGCGGCCGGCCCCGGCCCCGUCGACGCCGACGGCAUUGUGGCGGCGGAGGAGGGCGACGCGGGCAGCAGCAGCAGCAGCCUGGACGCCAGGCGGUGCUACUCGAUGGGCUCCUACCAGUACGUCCUCGCCGAGGCCAGCCUGCAGGUGUCCGUCCACCGGCGGCACGGCGACGGCGCCAACGGAGGCGCGGAGAGGAUGAGGGGCCCGAGAGGGGUCGUCGCCGGCGGUGCGAAUCCGCCCGGCUUUGGCGGGGGCGAGGGCAAGAGGAUCGGCGCGGGCAGCAAGGGCGACAGCUUCUCGGUGUCCAAGAUCUGGCAGUGGCCGCGCAACGGCAAGGGGAAGCUCCCCGUGCUCGCGCCCGACGGCUCGCCGGCGGUGGACGGCGCGCUGCAGUGGCCGAGGAGGAGCGUCGGGGAGUCGUGA